CAAUAGCGUAUAUUAAAGUUGUUGCGGUUAAAAAGCUCGUAGUUGGAUUUCUGUUGGGAACGACCGGUCCGCCCAUUGGGUGUGUAUCUGGCUUGUUCUCGGCAUCUUCUUGGUGAACGUUGCUGCACUUGACUGUGUGGAGCGCUACCCAGGACUUUUACUUUGAGGAAAUUAGAGUGUUUCAAGCAGGCAUAUGCCUUGAAUACAUUAGCAUGGAAUAAUAAGAUAGGACCUCGGUUCUAUUUUGUUGGUUUCUAGAGCUGAGGUAAUGAUUAAUAGGGAUAGUUGGGGGCAUUCGUAUUUAACUGUUAGAGGUGAAAUUCUUGGAUUUGUUAAAGACGGACUACUGCGAAAGCAUUUGCCAAGGAUGUUUUCAUUGA
RNAcentral lists this ribosomal RNA (380 nucleotides) under uncultured eukaryote. RNAcentral's name for it is "partial 18S ribosomal RNA". It matches the Rfam family "Eukaryotic small subunit ribosomal RNA", at positions 592 to 976 of the family's 1831-position model. The record is from RNAcentral.